CAUUGUGCAGUAUAGGCAUCAGCCGUUUGCUCUUACUAUUGUUUGAAAUAGAUUCUUUUCAAUGAGAGGGGCACGGUCCUUUAUGUUUAGUGUGCUGCUGAGGCAAGGUCUGUGCAGUGCUAAUAGGGCAGCACAGCAGGAAAUGAGAGCCAUGUAGAGGCAGGAACAUAGAGCUCCUGAUGGCAGCUUAACCCAGGAAGGGCUCUCUGCUGCCACACCUGUAUCACAUCUGAUGCCUUAAUUUAGGGCAAGUGUCUUGGAGGUAAGUACACCUGAGAAAAAUUGGCUUUGUUGCUUUUAUGAGCCUACUAGAGGCUGCCAUCUUGGGCUAUGUAAUAUUUCAGCAUUAUAAUCAGCAUUACACAGGAACACUGAUGCUGUUGGAGACUGCACUGUUGAUGAGGCUUGUGUAACUGCAGUGUUUUGUCAGCUAAUCCAUAUCGCCAGCACUGAGACUGAGGCUGGAUCAUCACGUAUGUAUGUUUGCUGGUGCCUUCCAUAGUGGGGAGUGGUUUGUUGUCGUUUCUGUGACUUGCUGCCACAGGAAGCCAGAUGCACAGAACAGCACUUGCACUGCUCUUGAUUGAGCCUGAGCAACUGAAAGGGUGAAAGUUAGCUUAUGUUAUAGAAAAGGGGAUGGAAUAGGUGAAAGUUAGCUUAGUGGGUAGCUUAGGUUUGCAACGUGAAACUUUGUGCUGAAAAGACAGACAAGGAGAAAGUCUGGGGCAUGUAGUCCUUGUAAAAACAGUGGUAUACAGUA
RNAcentral lists this long non-coding RNA (760 nucleotides) under Numida meleagris (helmeted guineafowl). RNAcentral's name for it is "lncRNA (ENSNMEG00000010684.1)". Lineage: Eukaryota; Metazoa; Chordata; Aves; Galliformes; Numididae. The record is from RNAcentral.